UAUAACCGCAUUUGUAAGUCGCUCUGGAUAAGAGCGUCUGCUAAAUGACUUAAA
Molecule: non-coding RNA, 54 nt
Organism: Salmo salar (Atlantic salmon)
Lineage: Eukaryota; Metazoa; Chordata; Actinopteri; Salmoniformes; Salmonidae
Source: Rfam